Molecule: long non-coding RNA, 906 nt
Organism: Alligator mississippiensis (American alligator)
Lineage: Eukaryota; Metazoa; Chordata; Crocodylia; Alligatoridae
Exons: 3
Source: RefSeq, a predicted model, not a curated record
UCCUAUCUUUUGUCAGACUGCUGAAAAGACUUUCCAGACUUCUAACUGCUGCCAAGUCUUGUGCACUGUCUCACACUGGAAUCAUCAACAAGAAACAAUGCAAAACCAACAUAGAAUCACUACAGAUUAUGAGGCUGAGGUCUUCAAGGAUGUUUUUAUCCAGCCUCGUAUGUGUUAAGAGCAACUGUAACCAGAGUAACAUGCCCCUAUUUUACUCCACACCACCUUCCAGGAUAAAAUCUACAGUUACAGAGGUCUUGGAAUAAGACUUCUUCACAUAGUAGUGUGAUCUAUAAGACAGACCCAGAAAAGAUUGGAAAGGGCUGAGAAGGGGAAGACGCGAAGCGCUUGAUCCAAUGGGAUGCCAUGCCAGCGAACAAGUUCUCUGCAUUGCUCAUCUCUCUGGAGAACAUCCGUCCAAACUUCCUUGGACACUUUCUUUAAGAAAGCAGACAAGACUCCAGAAAAACCUGCAGUCAGAACUCCUGAGAAGACUCCAGACAAGAACUGUUCAAAAAGUCCAACCAAGAGCCCUUCAAAAAGUGUAACAAAGUCACUUCAAAGAAAUCCUUUCAAAUCAGUAUGAUUGCUAUUUACAAUAAAAAUACAUUAAUGUAGCUAUAUAAGUCAUCUAUAAUUGAUCGAGUACAAAAUUCUGGGGUAUUUUUGGUGAAAAUAGGGUAUCAGGCCUUGGUUCAGGAACCAAUCCCCCAUUUAUAACAUUUUUUUUUUUAUGAGAAAAUUGGUUCUGACAACGUUUUGACUUAAGACGCAGUUUUCAGGAACCAAUUGUGUCCUAAAUCCAAGGACUGCCUGCAUUUUAGUUUGUAUAUUGGUACUAACUACCCCAGCCACCACUGUUACACUUCCUUUUGAGCUAUACAUUGAGCCUCGCUUUUCUCAUGA